Molecule: ribosomal RNA, 474 nt
Filed under: uncultured bacterium
Lineage: Bacteria
Description: SSU rRNA
Rfam family: Bacterial small subunit ribosomal RNA
Source: RNAcentral
AGGACGAACGCUGGCGGCGUGCUUAACACAUGCAAGUCGAGCGGAAAGGCCCUUCGGGGUACUCGAGCGGCGAACGGGUGAGUAACACGUGAGCAACCUGCCCCUGGCUCUGGGAUAGCUCCGGGAAACCGGGAUUAAUACCGGAUAUGACCCCCUUCUGCAUGGUGGGGGGUGGAAAGUUUUUCGGCUGGGGAUGGGCUCGCGGCCUAUCAGCUUGUUGGUGGGGUGAUGGCCUACCAAGGCGACGACGGGUAGCCGGCCUGAGAGGGCGGACGGCCACACUGGGACUGAGACACGGCCCAGACUCCUACGGGAGGCAGCAGUGGGGAAUAUUGCGCAAUGGGCGGAAGCCUGACGCAGCGACGCCGCGUGGGGAUGAAGGCCUUCGGGUUGUAAACCGUCUUUCAGCAGGGGCGAAGCGAGAGUGACGGUACCUGCAGAAGAAGCGCCGGCUAACUACGCGCCAGCAGCCGC